This 250-nucleotide ribosomal RNA is filed under the name uncultured bacterium. RNAcentral describes it as "partial 16S ribosomal RNA". It matches the Rfam family "Bacterial small subunit ribosomal RNA", at positions 83 to 334 of the family's 1533-position model. The record is from RNAcentral.
CCUUGGUGACGAGCGGCGGACGGGUGAGUAACGCGUAUCCAACCUGCCGAUGACUCGGGGAUAGCCUUUCGAAAGAAAGAUUAAUACCCGAUGGCAUAGUUCUUCCGCAUGGUAGAACUAUUAAAGAAUUUCGGUCAUCGAUGGGGAUGCGUUCCAUUAGGUUGUUGGCGGGGUAACGGCCCACCAAGCCUUCGAUGGAUAGGGGUUCUGAGAGGAAGGUCCCCCACAUUGGAACUGAGACACGGUCCAA